AUGGUGAGGAAUUUCUAUUGGAGUGAGGAGAGGGGAAAGAGGAAGGUACAUUGGAAGGGGUGGGAUCAUCUCAUGCAACCGAAAGAUAAGGGAGGUGUUGGCUUUCGGGAUUUUCGUCUUUUUAACCAAGCUCUCCUAGUUCGUCAGGCUUGGAGGCUUAUUACUAGGCCAGAUAGCCUUUGUGCCCGGUUGCUCAAAUCUAAAUACUACCCUGAUGGAAAGAUCGAAGAUACGAUGUUCAUUGGAAACGCUUCGUCCUCAUGGCAGGCUAUUAGUCACGGCAUGGAU
This 288-nucleotide ribosomal RNA is filed under the name Triticum aestivum (bread wheat). RNAcentral describes it as "partial small subunit ribosomal RNA". The record is from RNAcentral. Lineage: Eukaryota; Viridiplantae; Streptophyta; Magnoliopsida; Poales; Poaceae.